This 953-nucleotide unclassified non-coding RNA is filed under the name Hevea brasiliensis (rubber tree). Lineage: Eukaryota; Viridiplantae; Streptophyta; Magnoliopsida; Malpighiales; Euphorbiaceae. The record is from RNAcentral.
AACAACCAUGUUGCAUAAUGUCAUUCUUUCUUCCAUAGUCAAGCUUUCAACUGUCGUGCCAACAAACUCCAUUGCUUUAUAAGUAGCACCAGCCACUGAAAUUUCACCAAUAAUUUGCAAAAUUAAGUCCUUAGCAAGCAAGUAAUCAGGCAUUUCACCAUCCAUUACAAAUCUCAAAGUUGGAGGCACCUUGAGCAGAAUCUUGCCAGUACCCAACACAAAACCUGCAUCAGUAUUGCCAAUUCCAGUGGCGAAUUGCCCGAAAGCUCCAGCAGUACAUGUGUGGGAGUCUGUACCCAGCAAAACCUCUCCAGGUCUGCAGUGACCUUCUUGUGCAAGAGCAACGUGGCAGACACCCUUGUAAUCAGGAUUAGCACGGAAGUUCCCCAAAUCUUUAAUGUCAUAGAAGUACUUAAUAUUUUGUUCAUUGCAGAAAUCCCUCAAGAUAUCCACGUUACGGUUUGCUCGUUCGUCGGUUGUGAAUAUGUAAUGGUCAGGUAUAAUGACAAGCUUUUCACGAUCCCAGACCUUAGCAUUCUGUCCAAACUCUUUCUUGAAAAUUCCAAUAGAGCCAGGGCCACAAACAUCAUGAGUCAUCAGAACAUCAACAUUCACCCAGACAUUAUCACCAGGGCUCACAUCAGGCUUAUCAGAAGCCUUAGCUAAUAUCUUCUCAGUCAUAGUCAUACCAGUCUUUACUGAUCCAGUUGUGGCAGGUUUUCUUUCAGUCUGCUGAGGUGUCAUCACAGAAACAAUUCUCUUGGAUAUCCUUUUCCGAGCAGUUUGAACGGAAAAUGAAGCUUGUGAAGAGAAGGCAGAUAGACCCACAUCUUUCUUAUUGAUGAAAGUUGUAGAACUUGAAGCUAUAGCUGAAGACGCCGCCAUUGCUAACAGAUUUGUUCUGCUAAAUCUUAAGGGGUCGAAGAGAAGAAGAAGUUAUAGCCCAAAUAAAU